AGAGUUUGAUCCUGGCUCAGGAUGAACGCUAGCGACAGGCCUAACACAUGCAAGUCGAGGGGCAGCGGAGAGGUAGCAAUACCUUUGCCGGCGACCGGCGCACGGGUGAGUAACACGUAUGCAAUCCACCUGUAACAGGGGGAUAACCCGGGAGAAAUCCGGACUAAUACCCCAUAAUAUGGGCGCUCCGCAUGGAGAGCCCAUUAAAGAGAGCAAUUUUGGUUACAGACGAGCAUGCGCUCCAUUACG
This 249-nucleotide ribosomal RNA is filed under the name uncultured bacterium. RNAcentral describes it as "partial 16S ribosomal RNA". It matches the Rfam family "Bacterial small subunit ribosomal RNA", at positions 8 to 245 of the family's 1533-position model. The record is from RNAcentral.